This 1592-nucleotide long non-coding RNA is filed under the name Equus caballus (horse). Its description in RNAcentral is "lncRNA (ENSECAG00000055781.1)". The record is from RNAcentral. Lineage: Eukaryota; Metazoa; Chordata; Mammalia; Perissodactyla; Equidae.
AUUAGUGAUACUGAACAUCUUUUCACGUGUCUGUGGACAUCUGUAUGUCUUCUUUAGAAAAAUGUCUAUUUAGAUCCUCUGCCCGUUUGUUAAUUAGACUGUUUUUUGCUAUUGAGUUGUAUGACUUCUUUAUAUAUUUUGGAUAUUAACCCCUUAUCAGAUAUAUGAUUUGCAAAUAUUUCUUCCAUUCAAUAGGUUGCCUUUUCAUUUUGUUGAUGGUUUCCUUUGCUGUGCAGAAGCUUUUUAGUUUGGUGUAGACCUACUUAUUUAUUUUUGCUUUUGGAAUCAUAUCCAAAAAUUCAACACCAAUACCAAUGUCAAGGAGCUUACAUCGGUGGAUGUUUCCUUCUAGGAGUUUUAUGGUUUCGGGUCUUAGGUUCAAGUUGUUAAUUCAUUUGAGUUGAUUUUUGUGGAUGAUGUAAGAUAGUGGUCUAGUUUUGUUCUGCAUGUGGUUGUCCAGUUUUCCCAACACCAUUUAUUGAAGAGGCUGUCAUUUCCCUGUUGCAUAAUCCUGGCUUCUUUGUUGUAAAUUAAUUGACCAUAUAUGUCUGUGCAAAAAUAUAAGCAUAAUAUUGAUUCCAUUGGACUCCUUCCCUCAUAGAGGGGACAUUGAUUUAUCCUCACUGAGAUAGACACAUAUUCUGGAUAUGAGUUUCCUUCCCUGGCUUUAUUCACUGCUUCACACAAACUUGCUCCUAAUCAAAGAACUCAUUUCACAGCAAAAGAAAUGUGGCACCAAGUGUGGGAUCAUGCCGAGAAAGGGAAAAACGGCCACGAUAGUCGCCAGGCUGUGAUUUUAACCUCUAAGUAUAAAAAUUGCCCAGAACACAAGCAAUACUCCCUUCCCUCUUUUUUUCUAGUUUCUUCAGGUGGAAGCUUGGGUCAUUGAUUCAAGACAUUUCUCAUUUUCUAAUAUAAGUAUGUAAUGCUAUAAAUUUCCCUCUAAGCUUUGAGUACAUCUCACAAAUUCUGUUGUGUGUAAUAUAAAAUAUUUUAUAAUUCUUCUUUUGACUUCCUCUUUGACAUGUUAUUUUUAAAUGUACUGUUUAAUUUCCAAAUAUAUGGUAACUUUCAAAUAUAUUUUUGCAAUUUCUAGUUGAAUUUCAUUGUGAUCAGAGAAUAAAAUUUGUAUUUUAAUUCUUUUAAAUUUGUUGAUUUGCUUUAUGGCUCAAAAUAUGGUCUAGCAUGCUGAAUGUUAUAUGUGCACUUGUAAAGAAUGUGUGUUGUACUGUUCCAGGUAUUGGGUUUAAUAAAUGUCAAUUGGGUCAAGUUGGUUGAUAGUAUUUUUGGGGAUUUCUGUAUACUUGCCAAUAUUCUAUCUACUUAUUCUAUCAAUUACGGACAGGGCAGUGUUGUAGUCCCCAACUGUAAUGAUAGAUUCGUGUAUUUCUCUUUUCAGUUCUAUCGUUUUGCUUUUGUAUUUUGAAACUCUGUUGUUAGGCAUUCUUUUGUUAGAAUUGUGAUGACUUCUUUUUUUUUCAGUUGUGGUAAAAUAUAUACGGCACAAAACCUACCAUUUUAAGUGUGCAGUUCAGUGACAUUAAGCGCAUUCACAUUGUUGUGCAGCUCUCAGCACAAUCCAUCUCCAGAAC